UGCCUUGCCUUCUCUUGCCUUGG
Molecule: microRNA, 23 nt
Filed under: Euprymna scolopes
Lineage: Eukaryota; Metazoa; Mollusca; Cephalopoda; Sepiida; Sepiolidae
Also listed under: 2 other names
Description: Esc-Mir-12536_3p (mature (guide))
Source: RNAcentral